UAAAAAAAUACUUUUUUUGGUUAAUGUAAUUUUUAUAUUUAUUUAUGUAAAAAUUUUUGCAAUUUUUAUAUUUAGUAAAAAUUUUAACGUUUUAAAUAUACCCUUAUUGUUAGGAUUCGUUAGGAAAAUAUAAUUAAUCAUUGUUAGGAUUCGUUAGAAAAAUAUAGUCAAUCAUUGAUAAAAUAUUUAAUCCUGAUUAGUGAAUGAGGUAGAAAGGAAGAAACCAUCAAUGAAAAUUGUUGGAAGGAUAUUUCUGUAUAAUUCUAACAGUUGAGAUAUUUGAGAGACAUAUUUAUAAUAACAAAAAUGUCAUUUUACUUAUCUUUCAAAAAAUAAAAAAUUCUUAAUUGGUGAUAAACCAGAUGGGCAAAUAUGAAUACCACUAGAAUUUUGUAUAGAUAAAAAUAAAAAAUUAAAUUUUGUAGGAAUAAAUUUGUUAUUUGAAAUAUUUAUAGGAAGUUGUAUGAAAUUAAUUCUUCUUUUUUAGUCUGUUUUCUCCCUAUAAUCACCAAGAAGAACAAGUGUAACGAUCCCGCCCACUAGCAAUAAUAACUCGUUGGGCCUAACCACCGGCACAAAAUGCUUAAGCUCAGUUAUUAUUACUAGUGUCUAAGUCUCUAUAUAUCCAAUUACAUUUAAUUCCUAUCCAAUGUGAGAUUAUUGGGGUAUGACAAAAAGUGUUACACUUUAAACAUUUUGCAAAUUUUCUACAAAUUUAUAAAUUAUCAUAAAUUUGAAUGACUAAAUUUAUUUCUUAGUUUUACACUUGUGAGUAUGCAUCAAUGUCGCGUAAUCAUCUAAGUACCAACAAAAUUCAUAAGAAUAUAUAUUCAUCUGCAUAACAUUAUUUCUCUAUGGAUCCGAGUCCGAGUCUCCGCCUAGUACUAUCCAUAACAUCACAAUAUUAAAAAGUAAUUUUCUUGUAAAUAUUCAUUUUUCUAUUUUUUUCUUACUUUUAAAAAUUUAUAUUUUAUUCAUUUUAAAUUUCAGAAAUAUUUUCGGAGAGUACGCAGAGAGUACAGCGUUAAUGGAGAGGGCAAAAUAAUCAAAUUGCUGUUCUUUCUUCUAUCUAAAAAAUUUAAUAUAUUUUUGUCAUUUGAAGGGUAUUUUUGGUAUAAAUGUCAAAAAAAUGGACGAAAUAAUGAUGAAGUCCUGACGGAAGGGAGCUAAAAGCAAUAAUUUGAAAUAUUAAGAGGGUAAAAUAUAAAUUUUGGAAAGUUAGAAAUGAAAAGUGAAAAAAAAGAGUAUUAAUAAAAAAAAAAUCUGUAAUUUAGCUAAAAAAUUUAGGCUAAAUUAUAAAUAAUCUCCCUGUCAAUAUCCGUUUUUUCACUUUUCUCUAUGUCAUUCAAAAUUCUACACUAUGCCCCUUUAUAAAAUAAAAAAUGUUCACAAACUGCCCUGAUCUUCUUCAGGGUGAGCCUGGACAGAGGGUGGGCGAGGGCGAGGGUGAGGCGUCGGAGGCGGGCGAGGGCGUGUGUGUAGGCAUGGACUGAGAGGUUGGGGACGACGAGGUGGCGCGGCCGAGGUCGGUGAGGAAGGAUGAGGGUUUCCUCAAUAUUUUGGAUAUAAAAAAUAGGAUAUAAAUAGAAUCCCAACGAAACACUGACAGUGGGGGCAAAGUGAAUUUUUUUUUUUUUUUAUCAGGGGGCAAAUAUAAAAAUAUAUAAACGUCGUUAUCUGAUAGCUUAAGUUUUUAUAGGAUAAUAGUUAGUUCUUUUAAUUUAACAUGAUAGUUUGUAAUAUU
Molecule: long non-coding RNA, 1744 nt
Filed under: Ananas comosus (pineapple)
Lineage: Eukaryota; Viridiplantae; Streptophyta; Magnoliopsida; Poales; Bromeliaceae
Description: long non-coding RNA (ACOM_LNC014529)
Source: RNAcentral